AGUAACACAUGAUCAACUUAACCUAUUGAGAAAGAUAACCUCGGGAAACUGAGGAUAAUAUUUCAUAGUUGAAUUGGCUUGGAAAAGUUUUUCAACAAAAGGGAUAGGGAAAAUGGUCUUUAUCCGCUAUAGGAUAGGAUCGUGUUCGAUUAUGGUAGUUGGUGAGGUAAAGGCUCACCAAGCCGAUAAUCGAUAGGGGCCGUGAGAGCGGGAGCCCCGAGAUGGGUACUGAGACAACGACCCAGGCCUUACGAGGCGCAGCAGGUACGAAACCUCCACAAUACACGAAAGUGUGAUGGGGUUACCCAAAGUGUUCAUUAUUGAACUGUGGUAGGAGAGUAAUGUCCCCUACUAGAAAGGAGAGGGCAAGGCUGGUGCCAGCCGCCGCGGUAAAACCAGCUCUUCAAGUGGUCGGGAUAAUUAUUGGGCUUAAAGUGUCCGUAGCCGGUUUAGUAAGUUCUUGGUAAAAUCGGGUAGCUUAACUAUCUGUAUGCUAGGAAUACUGCUAUACUAGAGGGCGGGAGAGGUCUGAGGUACUUCAGGGGUAGGGGUGAAAUCUUAUAAUCCUUGUAGGACCACCAGUGGCGAAGGCGUCAGACU
Molecule: ribosomal RNA, 600 nt
Filed under: uncultured archaeon
Lineage: Archaea
Description: bacterial SSU rRNA
Rfam family: Archaeal small subunit ribosomal RNA
Source: RNAcentral